Molecule: ribosomal RNA, 253 nt
Filed under: uncultured bacterium
Lineage: Bacteria
Description: partial 16S ribosomal RNA
Rfam family: Bacterial small subunit ribosomal RNA
Source: RNAcentral
UACAGGGGGGGCAAGCGUUGUUCGGAAUUACUGGGCGUAAAGGGUUCGUAGGUGGCCACUUAAGUCAGACGUGAAAUCCCUCAGCUUAACUGGGGAACUGCGUCUGAUACUGGGUGGCUUGAGUGCAGGAGAGGAAUGCGGAAUUCCAGGUGUAGCGGUGAAAUGCGUAGAUAUCUGGAGGAACACCGGUGGCGAAGGCGGGUCUCUGGGCAACAACUGACGCUGAGGAGCGAAAGCGUGGGGAGCGAACAGG